AGAUUGCCGAUGAAAAGUGCUCAGGAAACCUCUGAAAUCGGACACAGGUCUGCAUCCAGACCCUUCUGCCAUCCAAGGAAGAGGCAGUUGAUUUUAGAAAUGCCUCAUCAGUAGAGGCCGGAUUAUGUAUCAGCCGAGGCUUCCUUUUUCAGCUUCUUCCCAGGGAGCUCUUUUACUGAUUUUGGUCUGGGGUGUCUCCUUGCUGGUAUUUCUGGACCUGAUCUGUGGUGCCCCAAGCGUCAUUACCACAGUUAGAGCAUCGUUUGCCAUACCCCUGUUCCGGCACAGACAGAAGGCUUUCUCAAGACUCAGCACUUGACAGAUCAACACCCUUGCUUCCAUUCUCCUUCCUACAGUUCAUUGCUAUUCCAAUGGCUGGGUUAUAAACUCUUUCAUCCCUGUUAUAAACUCUAUUCUGGUCCAGGAAUUUAUGGACCUCUUAACUUCGAGAGUUCUGUUCAUCCUCCGAGAUAUGUAAUUUUUGCGUGUGAAAAUGCACCUCUGUGGAUUUUUUUUUUUUUCCUGAGGAAAUGGUCCAGAGCUUCCAUAAAUUCUCAAAGGGGUCGAUGAACAAUAAAAGUCAGAAUCAUGCUAAUCACAGGUUUCAGGCUGACGCAGGUGGUGUGGAUGUGACUGGAACUUCCUCUGAGCACUAAAAGCCUGUCUCAUGCAUGUGUAAGUGAGCAGGAGGUUCCUCUGGCCACCUUUCCCUGCAGGGAAGUCACAACCAUCCUGGACUGUUUCCUCUCUCCUGGCCCUGGAUGGCUGAGUUGGCCAUGCGAGGGCCUCAGCAGUCAAACUGAGGGGUAUUUUUAUCCUGCCAAAAGGAGCUGCCGUCCUGGGUGAGCUGUGACUUUGGCUCCAGCUGGAAAGGAAGAAGCUAGCAGGGAGAGAACAAAUCCUGACCACCACUACCCCGAGCUCUUGCUACCUGCAUUCUGCUACCCAUCUGUUACCUGCCCUCAGAACCAGCCCCAGGGGGAACCCUGGCUUCUUUAGCUUGGGCUUCAAUGGCGAGCCUGGGGUGAGAGAAGCCCAGAACCAAACAGGCUGGUUUUUCCGCCCUAUAAACCAGGCCUGUGGUUAAAGACAAAGCACCUGGAAAAGAUGGGAGCGGGCCCAGGCUGAAGCCUGAAGUGUCCGAUCUUCUGGCCUCACCUUUCCAGGGACUAUGAGAAGCAGUCAGUCCUAUCCACUUUCUGUUGCAGACUGGAUGAUGAUGGUUGGUGAGAAGGUGGGUGUGGACAUAGGGAAGAGGAUGGCCAGCCGUGCUGCAGAAAGAAGGUGUUGCAGAUACUGACUUGUUCCCCAGGGCUGUUCAUAUUAAGCUGCCGCGACCGAGUCAAGCAGAGAUGGAAUUGAGAAUUUCACUUUCCUUUCACAGCCCCCUGCAAUGGAACUUUUAAUCGAAGAUGCAUAGUUUUCUGCCUAAAUUAUGGAUCAUCCUCCAGAAGAUGGUUGAUAAAUCUUACCAUUUAAAAAGUUAUGCUUUGCUUUUUUUUUUUUUUUUUCCAGCCCCAAACACAGCCACUUGUCAUUUUUAGGUUAAUUUUAAAGGAAAAAUCUUAUCAACCUCUUUGAUGAGAUGUGCUUCAGAAAUGAAGAACAACACUCUGCUAGUAAAUUACUUCUCAAAGUGGUUUGUUUUCGCUCUCAGGCCAUCAUGGGGCCUAUCAUGACCCUAUUUGGAUAACUGGGCAUAACAUCAACAUUCCUUUGUUAAGGUUUUCUUCCUCUUAUCCGGAACCUAAAGCAAAAUAA
Molecule: long non-coding RNA, 1761 nt
Organism: Canis lupus familiaris (dog)
Lineage: Eukaryota; Metazoa; Chordata; Mammalia; Carnivora; Canidae
Exons: 3
Source: RefSeq, a predicted model, not a curated record